This 84-nucleotide transfer RNA is filed under the name Bacteroidota bacterium. Its description in RNAcentral is "tRNA-Leu". It matches the Rfam family "tRNA". From Rfam's summary of the family: Transfer RNA (tRNA) molecules are approximately 80 nucleotides in length. Their secondary structure includes four short double-helical elements and three loops (D, anti-codon, and T loops). The record is from RNAcentral. Lineage: Bacteria; Pseudomonadati; Bacteroidota. RNAcentral also lists the same sequence under 1 other name.
GCCCAGGUGGCGGAAAUGGUAGACGCGCAUGGUUGAGGGCCAUGUUCUCAUUAGAGAGUGCUGGUUCGAGUCCAGUCCUGGGCA